RNAcentral lists this ribosomal RNA (460 nucleotides) under uncultured bacterium. RNAcentral describes it as "partial 16S ribosomal RNA". It matches the Rfam family "Bacterial small subunit ribosomal RNA", at positions 338 to 795 of the family's 1533-position model. The record is from RNAcentral.
CCUACGGGAGUCUGCAGUGAGGAAUAUUGGUCAAUGGACGAGACUCUGAACCAGCAACGCAGCGUGAAGGAUGACUGUCUUAUGGGUUUUAAACUCUUUUCACAUGGGAGUAAAAUGUUACACGUCCGUGCUCUUGUACCUCCCAUACCAACAAGCACUCACCAACUCCGUGACAGCAGCCGCGGUAAUACGGAGGAUCCGAGCGUUAUCCGGUUUUAUUGGGUUGAAAGGGAGCGUAGGUGGAUUGGUAAGUUAGUAGUGAAAGUCUGCGGCUCAACCGUGAAAUUGCUGUUGAAACUGUCAGUCUUGAGUGCAGUAGAGGUAAGCGGAAUUCCUAGUGUAUCGGUGGAAUGCUUAGAUAUCACGAGGAACUCCAGUUGCGAAGGCGGGUCACUGGACUGCAACUGACACUGAGGCUCGAAAGCGUGGGUAGCAAACAGGAUUAGAUACCCCGGUAGUC